AAUGGCACAGUGUGACUUUGCUCCAUCCUGCCUUGAUUUUCCUACUCCACCAUCAUCAACAAAGUUGUUAUUGAAUUUUGAGAAGCAUUCUGAAAACUUCAGACUCACAGACAGCUGGAUUGCCAGUAGUAGGAUAUCUUCAGUAACAGCCAGGUAAGAACGGAAGUCAUUCAAGUGUUUACAAAGAUUUAGUCUCUAAAUCUGCUGCUCUACCUACAAAACCUACGCAAUGGAAAAGCCCAGCUAAAGAGAAUAAACUUGGGACUUCUUUUCCUCAUGAGUCUACAUAUGGUAUUGGCAACUUUAAUGCUUUUAAAUCAACUACCAAGAAUUUUAGUCCAUCAACAAAUUCAGUGAAAGAGGGUCAUCACUCAAACUCCUCUUUGCCUGUUGACAAACUUAAUCAGCAGCCUUGUCUAACCAAACUGACACAGUGGUAAGAAGAGUGCAUUUUUGAAAGCACUGAAAAGGGACAGAGUAGAAAAAGAACAUAAAGAUGAAAGGCAUUACUGGCUCACAGACAGAUGAUGUCUCAUUUAAUUUACAUAACAGCAAUAGUACUCACUGAUAUGAACCAAAACUUUGAGGAAAAUAAAAUUCCACAGGAGGAUGACAGUGCCCCACUUUGUGCACUCCCCCAACCCCCAGAAUA
RNAcentral lists this long non-coding RNA (652 nucleotides) under Homo sapiens (human). Its description in RNAcentral is "non-protein coding lnc-ETFDH-5:1". Lineage: Eukaryota; Metazoa; Chordata; Mammalia; Primates; Hominidae. The record is from RNAcentral.